This 465-nucleotide ribosomal RNA is filed under the name uncultured bacterium. RNAcentral describes it as "bacterial SSU rRNA". It matches the Rfam family "Bacterial small subunit ribosomal RNA", at positions 338 to 795 of the family's 1533-position model. The record is from RNAcentral.
CCUACGGGAGGCACCAGUGGGGAAUAUUGCACAAUGGGCGCAAGCCUGAUGCAGCCAUGCCGCGUGUAUGAAGAAGGCCUUCGGGUUGUAAAGUACUUUCAGCGGGGAGGAAGGUGUUGUGGUUAAUAACCACAGCAAUUGACGUUACCCGCAGAAGAAGCACCGACUAACUCCGUGCCAGCAGCCGCGGUAAUACGGAGGGUGCAAGCGUUAAUCGGAAUUACUGGGCGUAAAGCGCACGCAGGCGGUCUGUCAAGUCAGAUGUGAAAUCCCCGGGCUCAACCUGGGAACUGCAUCUGAUACUGGCAAGCUUGAGUCUCGUAGAGGGGGGUAGAAUUCCAGGUGUAGCGGUGAAAUGCGUAGAGAUCUGGAGGAAUACCGGUGGCGAAGGCGGCCCCCUGGACGAAGACUGACGCUCAGGUGCGAAAGCGUGGGGAGCAAACAGGAUUAGAUACCCGCGUAGUC